This 171-nucleotide non-coding RNA is filed under the name Alteromonas confluentis. Lineage: Bacteria; Pseudomonadati; Pseudomonadota; Gammaproteobacteria; Alteromonadales; Alteromonadaceae. The record is from RNAcentral.
GUUGCGCCCGCUGUUUCAGGUGCUUGUCGAUGCGUCACUUAAGGCGCAUCUGGGCAAGGUAAACGGGAAGUGUGGUGAAUGAACAUUGUUUAUUAAUCCACCGCUGCCCCCGCAACGGUAAAAGCGCAUUAUGGCGCUAAGCCCGACACCGGCCUGAAAAACAGUUGAUUA